This 2882-nucleotide ribosomal RNA is filed under the name Triticum aestivum (bread wheat). RNAcentral describes it as "partial small subunit ribosomal RNA". The record is from RNAcentral. Lineage: Eukaryota; Viridiplantae; Streptophyta; Magnoliopsida; Poales; Poaceae.
CUUGAAAGAAAAAACACCCCCGAAUCGAGCGACCGCAUCUCCCACCCCAUCUCGAUGCGCCGCCUCGCCGCCGCCGGCCCGCAUCCUCCGCCACGCCAUCCUCCGCCGCGCCGUGCUGCCGUCCUCCCCGCACCCGGCCUGCCUCCUGUCCGCCGCGCCAUCCUCCCUGCGCCAUCCGGGUCCUCCGCGCGCGGUUCGCCGACGCCGAGGCCCAGGCCGCCGCGCUCCGGGCCUGCACCGGUCGGCUCGAGCACGCGCCGCCGACCGCGACGGGCUGCUCAACACGCUCCUCGCUGCCAUGGGCAACGGCCGAGAGGAGGAGGAGGACACGCAGGAGGCAGGGCAGCGUCAGAAUCGCGCGCGUUGGAUCCGGCCGAUGGUUACGGCGACACGGACGCGGAGGCUCUGGCCGCGGUCGCCGCGCUCUAUGCCCCGCCCCUGCUCGCCGAGCCCUGCCUCUCCGGAUCUCCAGCCAUGUAUGCUGCCGGGGACCCUGCAGGUCCAAGCUCGUCGGCGAGGGGGAGCGCAGACAGCAGCCUAGCCCGUCAGUAACAUGGCAGUAGGCCUCUUCUCCCCUUCCCAGUUUACAGCAGCGUGCCACACUUUCUCAGGCUCCUGUCCCCGUCGUCAGCACACCGAUUCAGAGGUAGAGGCUGACUUGCAGCUCGUGGACACAGAGGAGGAAGCCUAAGAUCAAUCUCAAAAGCUGUUAUCACUGUUCUCAGCCAGCGAUGCAUAGGGGAAUUGUUUGCUCAUCUAUGUGUUAAAAUCUGGACCUUUUCAUCAACGACUUCAACAAGGACGAGAUCAAGCUGCAUCUGCGCUGCUCUGUCCACCACAACAAUUUUGGAAUGCAUUAACUUUUAUCUGCCCAGGCAGGAACAUGAGCAUGCAUUUCUGGGAGUUCGCAAGAAGGCGUUGACCCCCUUAUAUAUAUUGCUGCUCUCUGCCAGAAACCAAAUAAAUAACACUUCAUGAUGCUGCUCACUGAUCGAUACUAAAUAUAUGGCUUGUUCUCGAGGAUUGUUAUCACUUUUUGAUUCAUAUGGAAUUUGAGGAUAUGGAUGACACUGGUUUGUUUCUCUUUCACUAAUAAAAUUCUGUCCACCAUUAGCUUACGGGCAAUGCUCCAGAUCCACAUGAACAUGCCUGAGUAAAUGCUCUUUAUGGUUCCAUGUUCUUAUGUAAUAAGACUUGAUGUGUUUUAUCUUCCAAUAAUUCAGACACGGGCCUUCCAACUUGAUACAAGCUACUGACAAGAGUUAGAGGGUCAGGUUUGAUAUUAUUAUUUGUUGUAUGACUAUUUGUUCUCAUUAUGGCACACCUUAUUUAUCUUUUAUUAGUUAUUACAUAGUUUGUCUAUAUUACUCGAAACAUAAUUAUACUGCGUACAUUUAGUGGAUACUGUUGAGUAAAAACAAAAUUCGAACUUCAAAUUACAUACUGGAUUUAGAUUGUUUCCUUAGAAACGAAGAGUUCUUUUUUUGAUGAAAAUGCCAGAUUGGCUUUUCAUUCAUGAAGAAGGGGUGUAGUACAAAGUGUUUCUCAAAAAUACAGGGUAGUACAGCUGCAUACGAACUGUAUGCAGGAAACAUACAGUGGAACAGAACUGAAGCAUCUCUAAUCUGGCUCCCUUGGUUUUUGAAUCAGCUGGUUAAAACCCAAGAUAUCUUUUGCGGUUCCCAGUAGUUGUUUACUAGAGGUAUCCAUGAUCCUUUAGAAAUUAGAAGUGUUAGCAAAACAAAGUGGAACUGAACUGAAGCUAUUUCCAUUAGUAUUGUCUACGUCUCCUUGACCUUUCAUGGGAAUCUGAUGUAACCAUCCUGCAACCUGCAAUACUAUAGAUGAUAUGCAGAGAAGAUUUCAAUAUUACUUAUUACUGCCUUAGUACCAUGCCGUUCUUCUCUACAUAAAUCAUUUAUAAAGCUGUAGGAGGAGCUCAGCUUACAUAUCUGAAUAUCCAACCAAUUGCCUUACCACUAAUUAGUUGCCACACUGCAACUACUGACAGUGGAUACUGACAUCUUAUUCUCUUGGUAGAGUUCAAAACAACAUGAAUCAAGCUGAUGAAAUUCAGUUGUAUUUUUUUCUUUUCCGACCAUGUAGUUUUUUAAACUGCUCUGAAGGUCCUUUCAUAUGUAAUUAAGCUCACACGCAAACGUCCUUGUACGUACUAUAGAAUCAUAUGCUGACAAUAUUGAACUUUUCUGUUGUAGUAAGAAUAUCAAGCGUUGUUUUGUCAUUGGUGUUUCAGUUUGUCGGUUACAGGUAUAUCAUUCCAAUAUUCAUACUAUAGGAGUUGUUGUCAGGGAGUGCGAGAGGGGCAGCAGAGUGGCCAGUGAGGGGAGCACCAUCACGGGAGAUGUGUUCAUACAACGCAACGUCGAGGAGAUGUCGACGACCUCCGUGGAUGAGCGGUGGUUGUGAGAGUUUUCCGAGGAAGGCCCACUCGAUCAUGGAGUGGCUAUCGCUGCAGAAGGCGACGCUAGCAACAGAGGCAGCCAUCCAUUUGUGCCACCAUCAAUAACAACGUUGUAACAAGCAUGGCUCUGCACUGGUGAGUAGAACUCUUCCUCCAAAUCAAAUCCAACUAUUGGAUUAAGAUGUUCUAAAAUUUGUUGCCUCACUGCCUCAUCUGUGUCCAUAUCUCUGUUGGGAAUUUGCAGGUUGCUGAAGCAGUAGAGUGGCUUAUGUCAUGUAGGCAACUGGUGGCUACAAGGAUCCGUAUGUAAACAUGGUGUGUGAAAUUUGUGCUACACAGGAAUGGAAUUGCCAAUUUACAAAAUAUAAUAUGCAUGUUUGGUUGAUGAUUACUUGGGGUAGCCGAAUAAAACUUGGAACCAGUAUAACUUCAGUGUGGCUAUGAAAAUUUUAGAUGGAGU